This 253-nucleotide ribosomal RNA is filed under the name uncultured bacterium. Its description in RNAcentral is "partial 16S ribosomal RNA". It matches the Rfam family "Bacterial small subunit ribosomal RNA", at positions 524 to 776 of the family's 1533-position model. The record is from RNAcentral.
GACGUAGGGCGCGAGCGUUGUCCGGAUUUAUUGGGCGUAAAGCGCGCGUAGGCGGCAAGGUGUGUCGUGCGUGAAAUCUCCCGGCUUAACUGGGAGGGGCCGUGCGAAACUGCCUGGCUUGAGGUCGGAAGGGGAAAGUGGAAUUCCGGGUGUAGUGGUGGAAUACGUAGAUAUCCGGAGGAACACCAGCGGCGAAGGCGGCUCUCUGGGACGGUACUGACGCUGAGACGCGAAAGCGUGGGGAGCGAACAGG